RNA transcript from Pan troglodytes (chimpanzee), 2914 nucleotides. It is a transcript of the gene named lysophosphatidylcholine acyltransferase 3, with no coding region annotated. NCBI's taxonomy places the organism in Eukaryota, Metazoa, Chordata, Mammalia, Primates, Hominidae. The transcript is spliced from 13 exons. The record is from RefSeq and is a predicted model, not a curated record.
AUGGGAAGGCAGCGAACCGGCCGGCCGGACGGUCGCCCCGGAGGGCUCCUCCCGGGAGCAUUUCGAACGGAGUUGAACUGUCGCCGGGCCACGGGCUCAGACCUUUCCAAUGGCAGCUCUGGGUCCCGACGCCAAGCCCCGCCCAGCCCUGAGCCUCCCCGUGUGCAUUCUCGGCAGGAGUCACCUUUGCCUUACAAACCUUCAGACCCGCCCUCUUCCUACCUUGCCGCGCUAGGCCCCGCCCUCUGCGCAGGUCGGCCAAUAACGGGGUGAGCUGGCGCCGCGGGGCGGGCCUCCAGCCAAUGCGCACGCCGUGGGCGGGCCCCGAGCCGGAAUUGGGGGUGAAGCGAUAGCGUUUUGCCCGCAUUCGGGGCGCGCGGAGCUGGGGGGGUCCCUGUGGGGCGCCCGGAGUUAAGAUGGCGUCCUCAGCGGAGGGGGACGAGGGGACUGUGGUGGCGCUGGCGGGGGUUCUGCAGUCGGGUUUCCAGGAGCUGAGCCUUAACAAGUUGGCGACGUCCCUGGGCGCGUCAGAACAGGCGCUGCGGCUGAUCAUCUCCAUCUUCCUGGGUUACCCCUUUGCUUUGUUUUAUCGGCAUUACCUUUUCUACAAGGAGACCUACCUCAUCCACCUCUUCCAUACCUUUACAGGCCUCUCAAUUGCUUAUUUUAACUUUGGAAACCAGCUCUACCACUCCCUGCUAUGUAUUGUGCUUCAGUUCCUCAUCCUUCGACUAAUGGGCCGCACCAUCACUGCCGUCCUCACUACCUUUUGCUUCCAGAUGGCCUACCUUCUGGCUGGAUACUAUUACACUGCCACCGGCAACUACGAUAUCAAGUGGACAAUGCCACAUUGUGUUCUGACUUUGAAGCUGAUUGGUUUGGCUGUUGACUACUUUGACGGAGGGAAAGAUCAGAAUUCCUUGUCCUCUGAGCAACAGAAAUAUGCCAUACGUGGUGUUCCUUCCCUGCUGGAAGUUGCUGGUUUCUCCUACUUCUAUGGGGCCUUCUUGGUAGGGCCCCAGUUCUCAAUGAAUCACUACAUGAAGCUGGUGCAGGGAGAGCUGACUGACAUACCAGGAAAGAUACCAAACAGCAUCAUUCCUGCUCUCAAGCGCCUGAGUCUGGGCCUUUUCUACCUAGUGGGCUACACACUGCUCAGCCCCCACAUCACAGAAGACUAUCUCCUCACUGAAGACUAUGACAACCACCCCUUCUGGUUCCGCUGCAUGUACAUGCUGAUCUGGGGCAAGUUUGUGCUGUACAAAUAUGUCACCUGUUGGCUGGUCACAGAAGGAGUAUGCAUUUUGACGGGCCUGGGCUUCAAUGGCUUUGAAGAAAAGGGCAAGGCAAAGUGGGAUGCCUGUGCCAACAUGAAGGUGUGGCUCUUUGAAACAAACCCCCGCUUCACUGGCACCAUUGCCUCAUUCAACAUCAACACCAACGCCUGGGUGGCCCGCUUUACUUGUUUGUCCCCACCACUAGAGUGUGGGCAGCUUGAGUAGAGUGUCUGGUUCACCACUGAACUCAGCAUCAGCCUCAGUCACUGCUGCUGAACCAAGUGGCUCGUGCGCACACGGUCUCCAGCUCCGCCUUGGGUCUGCUUUCCAUCUCUAAAAGUAAUCAGUCAGCACUGCCUCCUGAACCCUCUGGGGGCUACACGUGGGAGCCCACCAGCACUCCACUCCAAUCCUCAGGGUGAGGACCCAGAGGCAGGUGGCGGGAUGCAAGGACCAGUCAGUUUGAGGGUCGCCCCACCCACCCUUUUCUCCAGCUACAUCUUCAAACGACUCAAGUUCCUUGGAAAUAAAGAACUCUCUCAGGGUCUCUCGUUGCUAUUCCUGGCCCUCUGGCACGGCCUGCACUCAGGAUACCUGGUCUGCUUCCAGAUGGAAUUCCUCAUUGUUAUUGUGGAAAGACAGGCUGCCAGGCUCAUUCAAGAGAGCCCCACCCUGAGCAAGCUGGCCGCCAUUACUGUCCUCCAGCCCUUCUACUAUUUGGUGCAACAGACCAUCCACUGGCUCUUCAUGGGUUACUCCAUGACUGCCUUCUGCCUCUUCACGUGGGACAAAUGGCUUAAGGUGUAUAAAUCCAUCUAUUUCCUUGGCCACAUCUUCUUCUUGAGCCUACUAUUCAUAUUGCCUUAUAUUCACAAAGCAAUGGUGCCAAGGAAAGAGAAGUUAAAGAAGAUGGAAUAAUCCAUUUCCCUGGUGGCCUAUGCAGGACUGGUGCAGAAACUACUUGUCUCCCUUUUCACAGCACUCCUUUGCCCCAGAGCAGAGAAUGGAAAAGCCAGGGAGGUGGAAGAUCGAUGCUUCCAGCUGUGCCUCUGCUGCCAGCCAAGUCUUCAUUUGGGGCCAAAGGGGAAACUUUUUUUUGGAGAAGGAGUCUUGCUUUGUCACCCACGCUGGAAUGCAGUGGCACGAUCUCAGCUCACCGCAACCUCCACCUCCCGGGUUCAAGUGAUUUUCCUGCCUCAGCCUCCCAAGUAGCUGGGAAUACAGGCACGCCACCAUGCCCAGCUAAUUUUUGUAUUUUCAGUAGAAACGGGAUUUCACCACGUUGGCCAGGCUGGUCUCGAACUCCUGACCGCAAGUGAUCCACCCGCCUCCGCCUCCCAAAGUGCUGGGAUUACAGGCGUGAGCCACCGUGCCCAGCCCAAAGGGGAAACUCUUGUGGGAGGAGCAGAGGGGCUCACAUCUCCCCUCUGAUUCCCCCAUGCACAUUGCCUUAUCUCUCCCCAUCUAGCCAGGAAUCUAUUGUGUUUUUCUUCUGCCAAUUUACUAUGAUUGUGUAUGUGCCGCUACCACCACCCCCCCCAUGGGGGGGUGGAGAGGGGUGCAAGGCCCUGCCUGCUCCACUUUUUCUACCUUGGAACUGUAUUAGAUAAAAUCACUUCUGUUUGUUCAGUUUUUCA